GGAGCGACGCCGCGUGGGGGAUGAAUGGCUUCGGCCCGUAAACCCCUGUCAUGCGCGAGCAAUUCGGAUGAACUAACACGUCAUCUGUUGAUAGUAGCGCAAGAGGAAGGGACGGCUAACUCUGUGCCAGCAGCCGCGGUAAUACAGAGGUCCCAAGCGUUGUUCGGAUUCACUGGGCGUAAAGGGUGCGUAGGUGGUCGGGUAAGUCUUAUGUGAAAUCCCACGGCUUAACCGUGGAACGGCAUUGGAUACUAUCCGGCUCGAGGGUUGGAGGGGGGACUGGAAUUCUCGGUGUAGCAGUGAAAUGCGUAGAUAUCGAGAGGAACACCUGUGGCGAAGGCGGGUCCCUGGACAACUCCUGACACUGAGGCACGAAAGCUAGGGGAGCAAACAGGAUUAGAUACCCUGGUAGUCCUAGCCUUAAACGGUGCACGUUUGCUGUGAGAGGAAUCGACCCCUUUCGUGGCGUAGCUAACGCGUUAAACGUGCCGCCUGGGGAGUACGGCCGCAAGGUUA
Molecule: ribosomal RNA, 516 nt
Filed under: uncultured Verrucomicrobiota bacterium
Lineage: Bacteria; Pseudomonadati; Verrucomicrobiota
Description: bacterial SSU rRNA
Rfam family: Bacterial small subunit ribosomal RNA
Source: RNAcentral